This 465-nucleotide ribosomal RNA is filed under the name uncultured bacterium. RNAcentral describes it as "partial 16S ribosomal RNA". It matches the Rfam family "Bacterial small subunit ribosomal RNA", at positions 338 to 795 of the family's 1533-position model. The record is from RNAcentral.
CCUACGGGCGGCAGCAGUGGGGAAUAUUGCGCAAUGGGCGAAAGCCUGACGCAGCGACGCCGCGUGAGGGAUGAAGGUCUUCGGAUCGUAAACCUCUGUCAGCAGGGAAGAACGGUCACGGUGCUAAUCAGCAGUGAAUUGACGGUACCUGCAAAGGAAGCACCGGCUAACUCCGUGCCAGCAGCCGCGGUAAUACGGAGGGUGCGAGCGUUAAUCGGAAUUACUGGGCGUAAAGCGCUCGUAGGCGGUACGUCAAGUCAAGGGUGAAAUCCCCGCGCUCAACGUGGGAACUGCCUUUGAAACUGGCAGACUGGAGUGUGUGAGAGGAUAGUGGAAUUCCAGGUGUAGGAGUGAAAUCCGUAGAUAUCUGGAGGAACAUCAGUGGCGAAGGCGACUAUCUGGCACAUAACUGACGCUGAGGAGCGAAAGCGUGGGUAGCAAACAGGAUUAGAUACCCGAGUAGUC